AAAUUGAAGAGUUUGAUCAUGGCUCAGAUUGAACGCUGGCGGCAGGCCUAACACAUGCAAGUCGAACGGUAGCACAGAGGAGCUUGCUCCUCGGGUGACGAGUGGCGGACGGGUGAGUAAUGUCUGGGAAACUGCCCGAUGGAGGGGGAUAACUACUGGAAACGGUAGCUAAUACCGCAUAACGUCGCAAGACCAAAGAGGGGGACCUUCGGGCCUCUUGUCA
RNAcentral lists this ribosomal RNA (223 nucleotides) under Kluyvera intermedia. RNAcentral describes it as "partial 16S ribosomal RNA". It matches the Rfam family "Bacterial small subunit ribosomal RNA", at positions 1 to 220 of the family's 1533-position model. The record is from RNAcentral. Lineage: Bacteria; Pseudomonadati; Pseudomonadota; Gammaproteobacteria; Enterobacterales; Enterobacteriaceae.